AAUCCUUGGACAAUGGGCGCAAGCCUGAUCCAGCCAUGCCGGGGUGAGUGUGAAGGCCCUUAGGGUCGUAAAACUCUUUCGCCAGGGAUGAUAAUGACAGUACCUGGUAAAGAAACCCCGGCUAACUCCGUGCCAGCAGCCGCGGUAAUACGGAGGGGGGUUAGCGUUGUUCGGAAUUACUGGGCGUAAAGCGUACGUAGGCGGAUUAGAAAGUUAGGGGUGAAAUCCCAGGGGCUCAACCCUGGAACUGCCUCUAAAACUCCUAGUCUAGAGAUCGAGAGAGGUGAGUGGAAUUCCAAGUGUAGAGGUGAAAUUCGUAGAUAUUUGGAGGAACACCAGUGGCGAAGGCGGCUCACUGGCUCGAUACUGACGCUGAGGUACGAAAGUGUGGGGAGCAAACAGGAUUAGAUACCCUGGUAGUCCACACCGUA
This 431-nucleotide ribosomal RNA is filed under the name uncultured marine bacterium. RNAcentral describes it as "bacterial SSU rRNA". It matches the Rfam family "Bacterial small subunit ribosomal RNA", at positions 359 to 804 of the family's 1533-position model. The record is from RNAcentral.